AUAUUAUUGAAAGCAGCUAAAAUGAGUACAUUUUCAUUUAUUUGCAGGUGUAUCGCUCAGGGAAUGUUGUUUUACCGUUCACCAGAAAUAUGUUGAUUGUCAGUGAGGUGCUUGUUUUCAGACACAUUUACAAAAAUAGCACUUCAAAACGAAAGCACAGCAAUAUCAUACAAAGCCAGUCUUUUCACCUUCAUGAGCAUGUACUAACAAAACAGUGGCGCAUAAUUAGGUAAUUAGAGUUGCUCAGUCUGAGAUAGCAGCCUUAAGUGACCGCCACUGCUUGUAAGAAGUCAAAGUGUUUGGGGGGAGGGCCAGUACUUUCAGGGCCAGUGAUAUGUGUGCCACAUUGUGCUGUUCAAUAGAGCCCUCUGAAUUUUUAAACAGCAUCGGUUACCUCCGACAGUCUUUGUUGUGGCACCAUUUGCCUUGCCUAAUCCCGGUAAGUGCAUUUCACAUCACAGCCAUGUCCAAUAGACAUUCAGAUACUUUUACCGAGCAUUUCCUGUUGGUGCAGAGCAUAUAACUUUAACAGUUAUUGUUAAGGAUUUGACCAAAAAGCAUAUUAGAAAGGGGGUGGGAAACAGUCUAUUUCGGCAGAGCUGCUUUAGACGAACAGAAUAUUACAAUAAAUUCCUUGUAAUAUCUUGUGUGUCUGUUUUAGUGGAGUAACCUUGGCAUGUUACAUAAUGAAUAAGCCUUUGUCAAUUUCAUUUAUUAAGGGAGGAAAUGCAUGAUAUUGACACUCCUUGUAAUUGCAUCCCUUUCAUUUAAUCUUAUCAAGCUUCAGUCAUAUCAUAUUACUCUUAAACCAGGCAGUUUUAAUGCAAACAAAUUCACAGUUGCUGACCAAAGGCUAUUGAAAAUAGCAUAUGCUUUCAGAAUUGAAAGGUUACACUCUGAAAGUAUGCAAAGGGUGUAUAAUAUAUAUUUAAAGCGAUUAAAAUCAUUUUACGUAGGAACAUGGCUGUUGCAUUGUUCAUUUGGAUUUUAUAAGGCAAAUACAUAAAUCAAUAGUUAUUCAAUCUGCUCAGACUGAGAACAAAAUAAUUAAGAUUUAGAAUGCUUUUGUGAUGUAAAUUUGUGCAAAUAAAUUUUAAAUGUGACCAAAUCCAUGCCUACACCAUGAAAUCUUUCCCUGCACCCCUCCAAAAAAAAAGCAUGGCUAUUUACAUGAGAAAGAAACACUGAAAUUAAUGAAAUCAGAGGCACAUGAAUCAACAAACUUUAAAAUUCUUAAAUAUUUCCCGAUCUCCUCUGGAUGAAAGAUGACUGGGUUUUUUUUGUGUUUUUUUUGCUCAUUCCUCAACUUGAAGUGAUGGCUGGCUGUGGUCCUCCUGAUCAUGCCCGUGGAGCACACUCCCAGUACAUUAUUAGUGGGGCCUUGUUCUGACAGCACUUCACUUUGCCUGGAUUUAAUCCUUAGCGACAUCCUUAAAUUGGACCCAGGGUGCUCAUAUUUGAAAAUAAAAUCUGGGGAAAAACAUUUGUUUGGACAUGCGGGGCAUUUCAAAACCAGCCUCGUGAGGAUCGUAGGCUUGUUGUGUAUCCCCGACUAAAUACCUUCCCUGGUGGCAGGGAGGUUCAUUGUUGAAUGUUUUUGUGACUUUUUCAUGACCUUUUUUAAUCAGAAAACACCCCUAUGUGCCCUUAAGGCAGAAUGGAAAGGGCCCUAGUUAUGCCCCCUAAAGAGCACCAAAGAGGCACUUGUUCUGUGCAGUGCAGGCAUCCAGCAGUGGAUAAUCCUGUGUCCCUGAAGUGGCUGUGGUGGUCACACUUCAGACAGUGUGUGUGCCUGAAAAUUUUUAAGACAGAAUGUGAAGUCGGCACUAUGCUGUCCUGCGUGUGGAUAACAAUUUAUGGGUUUCCUCACUGCCAAGAGUCUGAUGUAAUAACUUAUAGUAAUUAUUACUGCCACGGUCAUUUAAUUUCUGUGGUUGUCCAUAGUUUCUCUGCAUGUGUACUACAUAUAAGGACAUGGACUCUCUCACUCCAUUCCCUAAAGCAAAUCAUCUUAGAUUUUAAUUAUAAACGCACUGUUUAACAUAUGUAUGUGCUGCAGAUUUAUUUAAUGCAUGUGUAUUUUAUCAACAUGAACAUACCAGCAACUGUAUUUGGUGAAAAAAAAAAAAAAAAAACAUGCAACACAGUAUUUUUGUUUGUGUGGAGCCUUGUAUGUUAUAUGUAUUUUUACAGGGUUCCUGUUUGUUUGUUUCAUUUGUAUUUGGACUGAUGCCAUUCGCUGGAGGAUGAACACCCAUUUUGUGGAAAAGAUGAUGUCCAGUCGACCAGGUCUGCUCCAGGCAAUAAACAAGGUGAAUAACAAUGGAACCAAGAUAGGGUGCAAGUCUGAAAGGGUAAAAAAGUGAAGAAAAAAAAGAUUAAAAAGAGAUAAACUGUGUAAAAUGCAGGUGGAGAAAAAAAUAAAAAAGUGUUUUUUUUGUUUUAUGUGUAGGAUAUUUUGUGCAUAAUAGAAAAACAAACCCGUUUGGAUCACAUUUGUUAAAUGUGGUGUAGUCUCUCUGUCAUUGGAGCUGCCAUCCUAAAAUGUUGCCUACAUUUUGUUUUUUUCACUUCUUUUUUCAAGCUUUAAUGCAGACCAUCGUAUUUCUACAUUUUCCUGAGGCAGUCGGGCCUUUUAAAGAGAUAAACAAAAUAGAGCAGGUCACCUAUACACAGUGUGCUCGUUGAUGCUUUCUGUGUAUGUUUCAAGUAUCAUAGCACAUCCUUUCAAAGCCUCAUCCACAUGCAUUUCAAAACAAGGCGAACAGAUCAUUUAAAAUGAUGGCUUUGCAAAGCCACCUUGCACGAUUAUUACAGUUAAAUCUCCUUCUAUCUCAUGUCAGCCAUGAAAGGUGAUCGAACAUGAAAAGACCUGCUUGAAAUCAAUGCACUGAUCAGAUAUGAAAUGAUACUAAUGCCCUUCAAACUAAAUUUCAUAUACUGAGACACAAAAAAGAAAAAGAAAUCGAUAGCAGCUUGCUAAAGUGGAACAAGAAAUUAAUUGAUUAAUGAUCAUUCUUUUUUUUCAUUCCCAGCAAAGCUGUUGACUAUUGGUAGCUGUACACAUCAAGAUGAUGAGAAUAUAAUAGUGCCUUAAAAAAUAACAGACCACAAACAAUUAGACAGCUCUAUGCUUUUGCAUUCAUUUCUGUUCCCUUUACAGUACCUGGGCACCAUAAUUCUUUUUAGUGGUCAAGAAAAUGAAAAUCCAGAGGUCUGUUUGCGUUUAUAAAAGUAAUCCAUUACAAGUACGAGCCAUUUGUACGAGCUUCCUCUUUUAUCAUGUCAAUUUACAGCUUUAAUAACCAGGGCCCCUGUUAUAAAUUUGUCUUACAAAUGGAAGAAAAAGGGAAACGCUAAUAAUGUCCCAUCAAUGCAAAUAUCAUUUAAACAAUGUAGUAAAAUAGGCCGCAUGUCGGAAUGAAAUUAUUUUAACACCAAGGGCACAAAACACUAUUGAACUGCCUUUUUUUCUGCAUUUCCUGGAGCUAAUGAAUUAUCACCCCAAACAAAACAGUGCAAUUAAUUGAGGAAGUAAUGAAUUUUGCCAGACUGCAAUAGGACUUUGUUUACUAGAAUUUGUUUGCUGGUUAUCAAGUCCACUUCCUAAAUAAUUGCCCUGUGUACUUUUCUCGAAAACGUUCAUGUAUGGACGUGCGUAGCGCAUGCACAUGCUCUUGAUGUUUGUACAGUUGUGCGACAGUGUGGGAAUGUAGUUUGUACACUGACAUGUUUGUGCCUAUGUUCUGUGAUUGUUUCAUUAAAAUAUAAGAGUAAUACAGACAAA
Anguilla rostrata (American eel) is the source of this 3787-nucleotide long non-coding RNA. RefSeq lists it as uncharacterized. The transcript is spliced from 2 exons. The record is from RefSeq and is a predicted model, not a curated record. Lineage: Eukaryota; Metazoa; Chordata; Actinopteri; Anguilliformes; Anguillidae.